GACGAACGCUGGCGGCGUGCUUAACACAUGCAAGUCGAACGGAAAGGCCCUGCUUUUGUGGGGUGCUCGAGUGGCGAACGGGUGAGUAACACGUGAGUAACCUGCCCUUGACUUUGGGAUAACUUCAGGAAACUGGGGCUAAUACCGGAUAGGAGCUCCUGCUGCAUGGUGGGGGUUGGAAAGUUUCGGCGGUUGGGGAUGGACUCGCGGCUUAUCAGCUUGUUGGUGGGGUAGUGGCUUACCAAGGCUUUGACGGGUAGCCGGCCUGAGAGGGUGACCGGCUUCCUUGGGGUUUAGAUACGUCCCACACUCCUACGGGAGGCAGAAGUGCGGAAUAUUGCACAAUGGGCGGAAGCCUGAUGCAGCCACGCAGCGUGCGGGAUGACGGCCUGCGGGUUGUAAACCGCUUUCGACUGUGACGAAGCGUGAGUGACGGUAAUGGGUAAAGAAGCACCGGCUAACUACGUG
RNAcentral lists this ribosomal RNA (468 nucleotides) under uncultured bacterium. RNAcentral's name for it is "partial 16S ribosomal RNA". It matches the Rfam family "Bacterial small subunit ribosomal RNA", at positions 28 to 507 of the family's 1533-position model. The record is from RNAcentral.